CGGCCCGGUUGAGAUGACCGUUGUAGAUGACGAUCAGCUGCCAAAUCACCAGCUUGGGUUCCCUUUGGUCACAUGAGCUGGGUCACAUGAGCCAUUGGGGGCAACCAGUGGUGCUGCUGGCCUUGCCUCUUCAUGCGGUGGGAAAACAUUCCAACAGCUGGCCUCGGACAGUUUCAGAAACAUCUGCAAUGUUCGCCACUGCAUUACUUGGAUUUGUCCCCUGAUGCGAGCCAAGUCCCCACUCUGACCCUGCUGAGAUCAAAUCCUUUCCCUUUUAACCUGAUGAUGACUCUACCUCCAGCCUGCUCCAAAAAGACAGCAGGCUGUUGUGUUCAGCGGGGGAUUGGGCUAAAACGCUUGUGGCGGGGCCAAGGUAAACCGUUCCAAAUGGAAGAGCGGCGCGGGAAAAGGGACACCAUCGCAACAAAAGGAGUUAGAUAUGGAUCAUUGGGCCUGUGCACUGGCCACAGCUUGAGCCAAUUAUCAGUGUCAUCUUGAUCCAAUUUAAUCAAUCUGAGGGGGAGACUGCGAGAGGUGUGGGAGGGUGAUGGACAGGGUGCAAACGUUGGUCAGAUAGCCUGAGCUGACUAAGGACGUUUCUUGCCCUGCACCAACCAGUCAUCCUCCUAUCAGCAGCUCCAAGGGGGUAUUGAAUAGGAUAUUCUUGUCCCCAGUACCAGUUCUUCUCACUGUAGGGUUAUUUCACACCAGAGCUCUUUCAUCUAUAUCAAAUGAACUAUAGUUUGUUUUUUUGUAAAGUCUACUUUGUUUAGGUAUGUGUUAAAGCUCGUCAGAACUCUAGUCUAGGACCAAACAAGCAAAUUCUGGUUCACCUGAAAACGUGGGUUUCUGUUCGCAAGUGAACUCUAGUAUAUUUCGCUUACAGUUGAAAUCCAAUACUCCAUUUGGAACCAAACAAAGUGGCACAA
Molecule: long non-coding RNA, 929 nt
Organism: Gambusia affinis (western mosquitofish)
Lineage: Eukaryota; Metazoa; Chordata; Actinopteri; Cyprinodontiformes; Poeciliidae
Exons: 3
Source: RefSeq, a predicted model, not a curated record